CACCCGCCCCGCCACACACCCGGCCGGAAUUCGUGCGGCUGCUCCCAGACGGUCUCGUCCAGGUCCUUGCCCACUGUCCCGCCCACAAAACAGUACAUUCCUGGAAUGGCAUCGAAUCUUUUGGCCUUGGAAAAUCCAAUAUCAAAGAGCAGGCCUUUUCCCAUUCAUCUAUCAAGAAGAAAGGAAAGGAAACACAACCCUGACCUUCUUCAACAGCCAGAAUCAGCUUUCUGUCAACCGUUCAGGAAAACACGUCCAUGAGCCCUCUCCCACCCCCACCCCACCCCACCCCACCCCCACCACCACCUUGGACCAGCUUCCUGCCACGGGCUUUGUCUCAGAGAAAAGAAUGACAACCCACGCCUAAUAUGCGCUCCCAGAUGGCCUUUGAAGCAGGAAAUGAGAUGAGAAUGAUGUGUGUGUUUUUCUUUUAACUUACAGAUAGGGGAACCACAUGUCCCGGUUUGCAUGUGUUAUCCCAGUUUAUACCUAUAGUCCAAGUGUCAUCAGUAAUAAUGCCUCUUUUUAUUCUCAAAACUUGAAGAAUUAAAUGUUUCCCCAGUUUGGAGCUCUUA
This is a long non-coding RNA of Bubalus bubalis (water buffalo), 575 nucleotides long. RefSeq lists it as uncharacterized. The record is from RefSeq and is a predicted model, not a curated record. The transcript is spliced from 2 exons. Lineage: Eukaryota; Metazoa; Chordata; Mammalia; Artiodactyla; Bovidae.